Molecule: ribosomal RNA, 465 nt
Filed under: uncultured bacterium
Lineage: Bacteria
Description: partial 16S ribosomal RNA
Rfam family: Bacterial small subunit ribosomal RNA
Source: RNAcentral
CCUACGGGGGGCUGCAGUAGGGAAUCUUCCACAAUGGACGAAAGACUGAUGGAGCAACGCCGCGUGAGUGAAGAAGGGAUUCGGCUCGUAAAGCCCUUUUUGUAGGGAAGCAAGAUAUAGGUAGUAACUGCCCUUUAUUUGACGGUAAUUACUUAGAAAGUCUCGGCUAACUACGUGCCAGCAGCCGCGGUGAUGCGGAGGUGGCAAGCGUUGUCCGGAUUUAUUGGGCGUAAAGCGAGUGCAGGCGGUUCAUUAAGGCUGAUGUGAAAGCCUUCGGCUCAACCGGAGACUUGCAGCUGAAACUGUCGAACUUGAGUGCAGAAGAGGAGAGUGGAACGCCAGGUGUAGCGGUGGAAUGCGUAGAUAUCGGGAAGAACACCAGUGGCGAAGGCGGCUUUCUGGUCUGAAACUGACGCUGAGGCUCGAAAGCGUGGGUAGCGAACAGGAUUAGAUACCCUUGUAGUC